UGGCCUUGACAUAGUAGAAACUUUCCAGAGAUGGAUUGGUGCCUUCGGGAAUCUACAUACAGGUGCUGCAUGGCUGUCGUCAGCUCGUGUCGUGAGAUGUUGGGUUAAGUCCCGCAACGAGCGCAACCCUUUUCCUUACUUGCCAGCAUUUCGGAUGGGAACUUUAAGGAUACUGCCAGUGACAAACUGGAGGAAGGCGGGGACGACGUCAAGUCAUCAUGGCCCUUACGGCCAGGG
Molecule: ribosomal RNA, 237 nt
Filed under: uncultured bacterium
Lineage: Bacteria
Description: partial 16S ribosomal RNA
Rfam family: Bacterial small subunit ribosomal RNA
Source: RNAcentral